This is a long non-coding RNA of Anas platyrhynchos (mallard), 3388 nucleotides long. RefSeq lists it as uncharacterized. The record is from RefSeq and is a predicted model, not a curated record. Lineage: Eukaryota; Metazoa; Chordata; Aves; Anseriformes; Anatidae.
AGGCGGUUUUCGUCUCAGAUGAGAGGCGCGAGGGGGCCGUGGCACUGUCCCGCGGCUAAACGCAGAGGGUGAAAAGCCCCGGGGGUAAAAGCUGCUGCUGUGGUCCCCCGACGGGGUACUUGCCCUGGGUUCGGCAGCCUUCCAAGUCACGUUUACUGCCCAGGUGAAAACGCACGUGGGCUUUUUGGGAGGAUGAGCUCCGGAGGUAUCGGGGCGGGGGCGGUGGUGUCUGGGCUCAAGUUGUUGGUAUCACUCCCGAGAGGACGGAGGACGACAGGCCAUGUGAGCAGAGCCAAUUCGGCAGCCCAGUCCCCUGCUGAGGGAGUGGGGCUGGAGGCUAGAAGGCAGGACAGGGUGCACGGGACAUCUACAGUUUGCUUUUGAAGCACCUGCCCAUUUCUUUGAGGUACCAACCAUCUUUUGUCCCAGCUAAAGUGACAAACACAAUAGCGUCAAGAGUGGUUUUCAGCCUGCAUUUAGCUUCGAAGAUGCUUCCAUUUCGAGCCUGAGGAGGGUGUAUGUGAAUGAAAAGCAUUGGUACUGCUUCUUCCAGAUACACUUGCUACUGAAAGCUAAAAUAAUUUACUGCCUUGUAGAGAAGACAUCUGAAGCUGAAGUCAGUCUGCAGGUGGGAAAUCAUUCUCCAGACCAGUGAUGUUCAGCAGGGACUGCCACCCUGAGAGAUGAACAGGACUUUCAAGGUCAGACAGCAAAUCGACAAUGUAGGGGGAAUAUUCAUCCAGCAGGAACCUGUACCCUGCUGCAGUUUGCAUGCUCUGAAUCACAUCACAGAUUGUUAAAAGCUAUAAAAACUGACUUUGCUUCUCUCUCUGCAGAAGUUUGCAGUUCAAGAAUCUCUUUGAAAGCAUGAUGUAUAAGAAAGCUGCUGCCUCCCCAUCACUUCAGCACUUGUACCUUGACAGUCACCUCCUGAUAUUCCUUUCUGGUGGGAUUUUUCUCCUCCAUCUCUAGGAGAGCUUUUUUUUUUUUUUUCCCUUUUAUUCUUUUUUUUUUUUCCCCCACCAGGACAGAAACCCCAAGGAGCACUGGCUGGAGUGAGCUGCUGCCAGUGCUUGCCUCGGUGAUGGGCACAGGAGCAGCCAUGGCUGCUGCAGGAGUGGGGGUGGCCACGUUGGGACAGUAAGUGGCACGGGCCUGGUGCAAGGGCUCAGGCUUUGGGUUUGCCAUGCUUGAACAUCCCUCCAGGGCAGGGGAGUGGAGGUUCACGCUGUAAGGCUAUAUUAAUGAAAUCCUUCUUUACUUGUUUUCCAAUUAGCCUAAUUGAAUUCGGAUUGCUUAAAAGUGGGCACCAGAGACAUUUAUCUUGAUGGGAUGACGGCCUUGAGCUCCAGCGAUCCUAUUAACUGUAAGAACCCAAAUCCCAGGUAGGGCAGGUCCAGCAGUAGCUCCCAUGUGACCUAAUGCCUUUAAUCUGCUCCUCUUCCGUGCAGCUCACACACACACGUGCACAUACAGCCAUGUACUCAUAUGCACACAUGCGCACAGGUGCAUGCACAUAUAUACACGUGGAUUUGCACACACAUGCACAAAACACAUAUACACAUGCACACACAGACAUGCAUGCACAUGCAGUAUCUAACUCUUUAGGUUCCAGCAGCCUUAAGAGAAAGAUUAUUUAGUGAAAGACCUUGGAGAAAUACCUUACUUUAUUGUCCUUAUGAGUUCACAGAAUCAAAAUCCCAGACUCACAGACCAGUUGGGGUGGGCAGGCAGCUCCUGGUCCCCCAGCCCAGCAGCCCCCCAAGCAGGGUGCCCAGCCCCACGGCCUGGCAGCUGCUGGAGACCUCCCCGAGGAGCCCCCAGCCCCUCUCUGGGCUGCGGCACCGCCCGGCACAGGAGUGCGGCCUAGCGGGCAGGGGGAGCCGCUGGGGCUCCACUACAGGGCUGCCGCUGCGCCUGGACAUGGGCAACUCUGACAGAAGCCUGCUUUUUCAUUGCAUCAUCUCUUCAGGUAUUUAUGUAGAUAGGUGUCUUUAUACACACUGAUGUAUUUAUAUACAUCUAUUUAUAUUAAUUGAGUCAAAUUGGUGUUAGCAUGCUGCUUGCCGGCCCUCUGUGCUCCAGGCUCCCGUGAAUCGUCUCCAGGGCUAAGCCUGAUGAGCUGUGGGGAGGCCUCAGUGCUGAGGCCCUGCGAAUGGUUCACCCCUGAGAAAUGCUGCACCCCUGAGGUUGAUGGCAGUGCCCAGCUCUGAGGGAUCCCUGCACUCCAGAGGCCACACUGGCUGCUUGGGGAUGGGGGCAGCUGGGAGUGGUGCAGGCCCUGCCGUCUCUGGGGUCUGCUGGUUUCACCCCAAGCCUGCUGCCCUUGCCCACGGGUCACUGGGAGCUUUCUGUGGUGGAGGUGCCACCUGGCAGUGGUGGUCCUGGGGUGCUGGCUGUCAUGGUUGGGCACUGUCAACCCCUCCAUCCUGCCUGCAGCCCAGCAGGGCCUCAGCACCACUUCUGCUGCCUGCCACCACCACUCCUGCCUUCUAAAAUAAGCACGUGGCUCCUCCAGACAGUGCCCGGGGCAGCUUCCUGAAUCCCCAAACAAUUGUGGGAGCCAGGGCAGCUUUUACCUCAUAGUUCUGCAGCUGCUGUGGGAGGAUGGGGACAGCUGGUGCCAGAGGGAUGAGCUGCACCGUGCUGCCCGGGGUCAGCCAGCAGGGCAGAUUUGCGGCCAGGCCCUGGCCAUCAUGCUGACCCACACAGAGCUGCUGGGGCGCUUUGGUGCAGUGGCGCUGGCCCCACCAGCCCAAGGCACACCCAGUGCCAGCCCGGGAGCAGGCGCAAGCCCUGGCAGCCCAGGGAGACACCAGUUGGAGCGGAGGCCAUGCCAGACUGAGAGUUUUUACAUCUACAACACUAAAAAUGGUGCCAAUGGCAGCCCAGGCUGCUCCAGCAGCAGAUCAGAUUGGCUGUGGCCAGCACCAGGGCCAGGCAGCGUCCCCUGCCAUGGACGGGGUCCCUGAUCCAUCCCGCGCCAGCCCCCAGCCACCUCCCAGCCCCGCUUGCCUCUGCUAACCCUGAUUUUUUUUUUUUUUUUUUGAAUCUUGUUAAUCACUUGUUUGGUGAUUCUGACUGUACUUUCUUCUCUGACCCUUUAAACCGUGAAAAUGCUGAUCCUAUAUGUGCUGACGAACUUAAUUAGCUCCUUUAAACCACCAGAUGCUUUCAAUAAGAUUUUCUGGAUGUCCCAGGCACAUUUUAAUUCAAAGGUCAAAAGUCUUAGACUUGUUUACUGUGGUGUUUUAGAGAUAAAAUAAUUCACCCUGUAAAGUAACAGAACAGUGUGGAGACACCUACCAGCUUUAUAUAAAUACAGAGGGAAGCAUGUUUUCUUGGGGACUGCAGUGGGGGAAAUGUUUAAUAACAGGCUUUAAAACAA